AUUGAACGCUGGCGGCAUGCUUUACACAUGCAAGUCGAACGGUAACAGGCCUUCGGGUGCUGACGAGUGGCGAACGGGUGAGUAAUGCAUCGGAACGUACCCAGAGGUGGGGGAUAACGCAGCGAAAGCUGUGCUAAUACCGCAUGUGAUCUGAGGAUGAAAGCGGGGGACCGAGCAGCAAUGUUUGGCCUCGCGCCUUUGGAGCGGCCGAUGUCGGAUUAGCUAGUUGGUGGGGUAAAGGCCUACCAAGGCGACGAUCCGUAGCUGGUCUGAGAGGACGACCAGCCACACUGGGACUGAGACACGGCCCAGACUCCUACGGGAGGCAGCAGUGGGGAAUUUUGGACAAUGGGCGCAAGCCUGAUCCAGUAAUGCCGCGUGCGGGAAGAAGGCCUUCGGGUUGUAAACCGCUUUUGGCAGGAACGAAACGGUGUCCGCUAAUACCGGGCGCUAAUGACGGUACCUGCAGAAUAAGCACCGGCUAACUACGUG
This 492-nucleotide ribosomal RNA is filed under the name uncultured bacterium. Its description in RNAcentral is "partial 16S ribosomal RNA". It matches the Rfam family "Bacterial small subunit ribosomal RNA", at positions 30 to 507 of the family's 1533-position model. The record is from RNAcentral.